This 492-nucleotide ribosomal RNA is filed under the name uncultured bacterium. RNAcentral's name for it is "partial 16S ribosomal RNA". It matches the Rfam family "Bacterial small subunit ribosomal RNA", at positions 29 to 507 of the family's 1533-position model. The record is from RNAcentral.
AGUGAACGCUGGCGGUAGGCCUAACACAUGCAAGUCGAACGGCAGCACAGUAAGAGCUUGCUCUUACGGGUGGCGAGUGGCGGACGGGUGAGGAAUACCUCGGAAUCUACUUUUUCGUGGGGGCUAACGUAGGGAAACUUACGCUAAUACCGCAUACGACCUACGGGUGAAAGCAGGGGAUCUUCGGCCCUUGCGCGAUUGAAUGAGCCGAUGUCGGAUUAGCUAGUUGGCGGGGUACAGGCCCACCAAGGCGACGAUCCGUAGCUGGUCUGAGAGGAUGAUCAGCCACACUGGAACUGAGACACGGUCCAGACUCCUACGGGAGGCAGCAGUGGGGAAUAUUGGACAAUGGGCGCAAGCCUGAUCCAGCCAUACCGCGUGGGUGAAGAAGGCCUUCGGGUUGUAAAGCCCUUUUGUUGGGAAAGAAAAGCAGCAGGUUAAUACCCCGCUGUUCUGACGGUACCAAAAGAAUAAGCACCGGCUAACUUCGUG